GCCCCAGUAGCUCAGUUGUAUAGAGCGACCGCCUCCUAAGCGGCAGAUUGUUCGAUUCCUUCGAGCA
Molecule: transfer RNA, 67 nt
Filed under: Oscillibacter sp. CAG:241_62_21
Lineage: Bacteria; Bacillati; Bacillota; Clostridia; Eubacteriales; Oscillospiraceae
Description: tRNA-Arg
Rfam family: tRNA
About the family: Transfer RNA (tRNA) molecules are approximately 80 nucleotides in length.
Source: RNAcentral